This 492-nucleotide ribosomal RNA is filed under the name uncultured bacterium. Its description in RNAcentral is "partial 16S ribosomal RNA". It matches the Rfam family "Bacterial small subunit ribosomal RNA", at positions 29 to 507 of the family's 1533-position model. The record is from RNAcentral.
AUUGAACGCUGGCGGCAUGCUUUACACAUGCAAGUCGAACGGUAACAGGCCUUCGGGUGCUGACGAGUGGCGAACGGGUGAGUAAUGCAUCGGAACGUACCCAGAGGUGGGGGAUAACGCAGCGAAAGCUGUGCUAAUACCGCAUGUGAUCUGAGGAUGAAAGCGGGGGACCGAGCAGCAAUGUUUGGCCUCGCGCCUUUGGAGCGGCCGAUGUCGGAUUAGCUAGUUGGUGGGGUAAAGGCCUACCAAGGCGACGAUCCGUAGCUGGUCUGAGAGGACGACCAGCCACACUGGGACUGAGACACGGCCCAGACUCCUACGGGAGGCAGCAGUGGGGAAUUUUGGACAAAGGGCGCAAGCCUGAUCCAGCAAUGCCGCGUGCGGGAAGAAGGCCUUCGGGUUGUAAACCGCUUUUGGCAGGAACGAAACGGUGUCCGCUAAUACCGGGCGCUAAUGACGGUACCUGCAGAAUAAGCACCGGCUUACUACGUG